RNAcentral lists this ribosomal RNA (460 nucleotides) under uncultured bacterium. RNAcentral's name for it is "partial 16S ribosomal RNA". It matches the Rfam family "Bacterial small subunit ribosomal RNA", at positions 338 to 795 of the family's 1533-position model. The record is from RNAcentral.
CCUACGGGGGGCAGCAGUGAGGAAUAUUGGUCAAUGGACGAGAGUCUGAACCAGCCAAGUAGCGUGAAGGAUGACUGCCCUAUGGGUUGUAAACUUCUUUUAUAUGGGAAUAAAAUGUUCCACGUGUGGGAUUUUGUAUGUACCAUAUGAAUAAGGAUCGGCUAACUCCGUGCCAGCAGCCGCGGUAAUACGGAGGAUCCGAGCGUUAUCCGGAUUUAUUGGGUUUAAAAGGAGCGUAGGUGGAUUGUUAAGUCAGUUGUGAAAGUUUGCGGCUCAACCGUAAAAUUGCAGUUGAAACUGGCAGUCUUGAGUACAGUAGAGGUGGGCGGGAUUCGUGGUGUAGCGGUGAAAUGCUUAGAUAUCACGAAGAACUCCGAUUGCGAAGGCAGUUCACUGGACUGCAACUGACACUGAGGCUCGAAAGUGUGGGUAUCAAACAGGAUUAGAUACCCCAGUAGUC